This 63-nucleotide transfer RNA is filed under the name Clostridioides difficile. Its description in RNAcentral is "tRNA-Met". It matches the Rfam family "tRNA", at positions 6 to 65 of the family's 71-position model. Rfam says of the family: Transfer RNA (tRNA) molecules are approximately 80 nucleotides in length. The record is from RNAcentral. Lineage: Bacteria; Bacillati; Bacillota; Clostridia; Peptostreptococcales; Peptostreptococcaceae.
UAUAGCUUAGUUGGCUAGAGCGUUCGGUUCAUACCCGAAAGGUCAUAGGUUCGACUCCUAUUA